GAUGAACGCUGGCGGCGUGCCUAAUACAUGCAAGUCGAGCGAACAGAUGAGGAGCUUGCUCCUCUGACGUUAGCGGCGGACGGGUGAGUAACACGUGGAUAACCUACCUAUAAGACUGGGAUAACUUCGGGAAACCGGAGCUAAUACCGGAUAAUAUAUUGAACCGCAUGGUUCAAUAGUGAAAGACGGUUUUGCUGUCACUUAUAGAUGGAUCCGCGCCGCAUUAGCUAGUUGGUAAGGUAACGGCUUACCAAGGCGACGAUGCGUAGCCGACCUGAGAGGGUGAUCGGCCACACUGGAAGUGAGACACGGUCCAGACGCCUACGGGAGGCAGCAGUAGGGAAUGUUCCGCAAUGGGCGAAAGCCUGACGGAGCAACGGCGCGUGAGUGAUGAAGGUCUUCGGAUCGUAAAACUCUGUUAUUAGGGAAGAACAAAUGUGUAAGUAACUAUGCACGUCUUGACGGUACCUAAUCAGAAAGCCACGGCUAACUACGUG
RNAcentral lists this ribosomal RNA (497 nucleotides) under uncultured bacterium. RNAcentral describes it as "partial 16S ribosomal RNA". It matches the Rfam family "Bacterial small subunit ribosomal RNA", at positions 28 to 507 of the family's 1533-position model. The record is from RNAcentral.